RNAcentral lists this small nuclear RNA (20 nucleotides) under Arabidopsis thaliana (thale cress). RNAcentral's name for it is "snRNA_08932". The record is from RNAcentral. Lineage: Eukaryota; Viridiplantae; Streptophyta; Magnoliopsida; Brassicales; Brassicaceae.
GACCAAAAUUCAACUAAUUG